UACAGGGGGGGCAAGCGUUGUUCGGAAUUACUGGGCGUAAAGGGUUCGUAGGUGGCCACUUAAGUCAGACGUGAAAUCCCUCAGCUUAACUGGGGAACUGCGUCUGAUACUGAGUGGCUUGAGUGCAGGAGAGGAAUGCGGAAUUCCAGGUGUAGCGGUGAAAUGCGUAGAUAUCUGGAGGAACACCGGUGGCGAAGGCGGCAUUCUGGACUGUAACUGACACUGAGGAACGAAAGCCAGGGGAGCAAACAGG
RNAcentral lists this ribosomal RNA (253 nucleotides) under uncultured bacterium. RNAcentral's name for it is "partial 16S ribosomal RNA". It matches the Rfam family "Bacterial small subunit ribosomal RNA", at positions 524 to 776 of the family's 1533-position model. The record is from RNAcentral.